AGUGAACGCUGGCGGUAGGCCUAACACAUGCAAGUCGAACGGCAGCACAGUAAGGGCUUGCUCUUACGGGUGGCGAGUGGCGGACGGGUGAGGAAUACAUCGGAAUCUACUUUUUCGUGGGGGAUAACGUAGGGAAACUUACGCUAAUACCGCAUACGACCUACGGGUGAAAGCAGGGGAUCUUCGGACCUUGCGCGAGUGAAUGAGCCGAUGUCGGAUUAGCUAGUUGGCGGGGUAAAGGCCCACCAAGGCGACGAUCCGUAGCUGGUCUGAGAGGAUGAUCAGCCACACUGGAACUGAGACACGGUCCAGACUCCUACGGGAGGCAGCAGUGGGGAAUAUUGGACAAUGGGCGCAAGCCUGAUCCAGCCAUACCGCGUGGGUGAAGAAGGCCUUCGGGUUGUAAAGCCCUUUUGUUGGGAAAGAAAAGCAGCAGGUUAAUACCCCGCUGUUCUGACGGUACCCAAAGAAUAAGCACCGGCUAACUUCGUG
RNAcentral lists this ribosomal RNA (492 nucleotides) under uncultured bacterium. Its description in RNAcentral is "partial 16S ribosomal RNA". It matches the Rfam family "Bacterial small subunit ribosomal RNA", at positions 29 to 507 of the family's 1533-position model. The record is from RNAcentral.